This 440-nucleotide ribosomal RNA is filed under the name uncultured bacterium. Its description in RNAcentral is "partial 16S ribosomal RNA". It matches the Rfam family "Bacterial small subunit ribosomal RNA", at positions 338 to 795 of the family's 1533-position model. The record is from RNAcentral.
CCUACGGGAGGCAGCAGUGGGGAAUAUUGCACAAUGGGGGAAACCCUGAUGCAGCGACGCCGCGUGAGUGAAGAAGUAUUUCGGUACGUAAAGCUCUAUCAGCAGGGAAGAAAAUGACGGUACCUGACUAAGAAGCACCGGCUAACUACGUGCCAGCAGCCCCGGUACUACGUAGGGAGCAAGCGUUAUCCGGAUUUACUGGGUGUAAAGGGGGCGUAGUCGGCAGGGUAAGUCUGGAGUGAAAUCCCAUGGCUUAACCAUGGAACGGCUUUGGAAACUGGGCAGCUGGAGUGCAGGAGAGGUAAGCGGAAUUCCUAGUGUAGCGGUGAAAUGCGUAGAUAUUAGGAGGAACACCAGUGGCGAAGGCGGCUUACUGGACUGCAACUGACGUUGAGGCUCGAAAGCGUGGGGAGCGAACAGGAUUAGAUACCCCUGUAGUC